Molecule: ribosomal RNA, 918 nt
Filed under: uncultured bacterium
Lineage: Bacteria
Description: bacterial SSU rRNA
Rfam family: Bacterial small subunit ribosomal RNA
Source: RNAcentral
ACGCUGGCGGCAGGCUUAACACAUGCAAGUCGAACGGUAACAGGAAUUAGCUUGCUAAUUUGCUGACGAGUGGCGGACGGGUGAGUAAUGCUUGGGAAUCUGGCUUAUGGAGGGGGAUAACUACGGGAAACUGUAGCUAAUACCGCGUAAAAUCUUCGGAUUAAAGGGUGGGGCUUUCGAGCCACCUGCCAUAAGAUGAGCCCAAGUGGGAUUAGGUAGUUGGUUAGGUAAAGGCUGACCAAGCCGACGAUCUCUAGCUGGUCUGAGAGGAUGACCAGCCACACUGGAACUGAGACACGGUCCAGACUCCUACGGGAGGCAGCAGUGGGGAAUAUUGCACAAUGGGGGGAACCCUGAUACAGCCAUGCCGCGUGAAUGAAGAAGGCCUUCGGGUUGUAAAGUUCUUUCGGUGACGAGGAAGGUUGAUAGGUUAAUAGCCUAUCAAAUUGACGUUAAUCACAGAAGAAGCACCGGCUAACUCCGUGCCAGCAGCCGCGGUAAUACGGGGGGUGCGAGCGUUAAUCGGAAUAACUGGGCGUAAAGGGCACGCAGGCGGUGACUUAAGUGAGAUGUGAAAGCCCCGAGCUUAACUUGGGAAUUGCAUUUCAUACUGGGUCGCUAGAGUACUUUAGGGAGGGGUAGAAUUCCACGUGUAGCGGUGAAAUGCGUAGAGAUGUGGAGGAAUACCGAAGGCGAAGGCAGCCCCUUGGGAAUGUACUGACGCUCAUGUGCGAAAGCGUGGGGAGCAAACAGGAUUAGAUACCCUGGUAGUCCACGCUGUAAACGAUGUCGAUUUGGGGAUUGGGCUUUGAGCUUGGUGCCCGUAGCUAACGUGAUAAAUCGACCGCCUGGGGAGUACGGCCGCAAGGUUAAAACUCAAAUGAAUUGACGGGGGCCCGCACAAGCGGUGGAGCAUGU